AUCCUGGGGAUUCAAAUUGAAUCAUAUCAAUGAACCAAUACUGUCUUUCAAGUUCCACAUGCAUUCUUUCCUUUCUUUCUUUAAUUCUCAGAGCUUUGAAUUUACAUGUGAUAUACACAUAUGAGAAAAUGGGGCAAUAGAUUUUUGACCAUUUUUUAAAAUGGCAUUGGCUUCCAAAAUUGAAUGACAAUUAGAAAGCCUGUCAAAGUCUAAAUAACUUUGUGGACAAGAAGCUCUUUUAUAUAUCCUUAAUCCACAAGAUUCCUGUGAAAUAUUUUGAAAUAGCAAUCAUUAAGUAAAGAAAAAUUUGUAAUGCUACCUAUAUGUACUUAGUGAUUGUAGUCAUAUCAUAUAAUAUGGCUAUUAACUGUGACAAAAUUAUCAAAUCAUAAAUUACACAGGUAAGAAAUCUAGUCUUAUCCAUUUAUUCACAGUUAAGGAAACAAAACAGAAAAGUCAUGACCUUGUUCCAAGAUGAUGUAUUUUCCCAAGAUGACAUCCCACAAAGUGGCAACUACAGCUGGGACUCCAGACUUCUGCUCAGAAUUCUUUUUCCUGUACUGGACGACAGUCUCAGGAGGGGGAGAGGGGAUAUAGAAUCCUUAGAGUAGAUGUCUAUUUUUAAAUAAUUAUAGAUCCACAGAAAGUCACAAAGAUAGUAACAAGAUGGUACCCUUUUACUUUCCUGCAUUGGUUGCAUCUUUCAAAACUACAAAACAAUACAUUGAUAUUGGUGCAAUGUGUGUAUAAUAUAUCGCAUGUAUAGAUUCAUGUAACCACCUCUGCAAUCCAGAUAGAGAACUGUUCUGUCACCACAAACAUACUCUUCCUGCUACUCCUGUCCUUUAUAACCAAACCUGCUGGCACCCACCAGCCCUACCUGUGAUGACUUAGAGCCCUGUGCUGGAAUUAGGAUUCUUAAAUCCAUUGAAGUCCUUUUCAGCCAUUAUUCUUUGAAUAAUCUUUCACAUCUACAAACGUUUAUCUCUUUUUCUGGGAUUCUGAUGACAGGAAUAGUGAAUCUUUUUGUUAGCCUCACAGGUCAUUGAGAUGCUAUUCAUUUUUUUUUCCCCAGUCUUUUUUUUUUUUUUUUUCCUAUCAGUGCUUUAUAUUGUUCCAUCUUUUAAUUUAUUUGUUCUUUCCUCUGCCCUUCGUGUUCUGCUGUUGAGUCCGUCCUUAGAGUUUUAAGACUUGCUUAUAGAAUUUUUUAUUUUUAAAACAUCCAUUUGGCUCUUUAGAUUCCCUGUUUCUUUGCUGAGGCUUUCUAUUCUUUUGUGUUUCAUCACUGUUCACAAUUUCUUAUUGAAUUAUUUUUAUGACAGCUGCUUUAAAAUCUUUGACCCACAACUCCAGCUUCUGUGUCAGCUAAGGGCUGGCUUUGUGUUUAGGUUGAGAUUUUCCUGUGUCUUGGUUUAAUGAGUGCUUUUGAGAUUAUCCUGGAUAUUUGGGGGUAUUAUGUUAUGAGACUCAGAACAUUCAUUACAUAUUCUGUUUUAGCAGUUCUUUUCUGACACUGCACUGCCUUGUGACUGCCAGGUUGGGGGAAAAGUCCAGGUUUCCAUUCAGCCUCUUUUAACACCUCCUGUGGGGAGGGAUAUUUUAUCACUGCUUAGUGGAGGUGGGAUUUUAAGCCCCCUGCUAAGUCUCGGCUCACACUGCCCAAGUGGGAAGGAAGAGUAGGGCUUCAUUUGGCUAGGGUGGAAAUCCAGAACCUCACUCUUCUGCUUCUCUUUGUAGAGGGUACAGAGAGGCUGGAGGCAUGCCUGAGCAGAGCCUGGCAUGGGUGGGAAUAUAGGUUUGGCCUUUGCUGAUGGGCAGGGAGGUGGGUUUUUCCAUAAUGUUUUGCUAGAGCAUUUUCUGUCUUGGUAGGCUUCCUCUUUCCUACUCCUUUGGCAAGAGAAAGCUGGCUUUUGUGGGUAUUCAUUUCUUUGCCUGUGUCUACUAAUAUUUCUGGGUCACUAGUUUCUCCAGCAACCACUCUGGGAUAUGCGAGGCAAAAAAAGAAAACACAGGGAAACCACUGCCCUAUUGUUCCUUAGAUCUCAGGGUCCUUAGGCAGCCUGCCUCCUGUCUCCAAUGUUAGUCUUCUUACACUUGUUUGAUUUAGGAUGCCAAGGGUUUAAUUGCACUUCACAAGAAGGCCUAAUAGUGUGUGAAUAAACUUCAUCUUUGUCUGGAGCUGGAGGACCCAGGUCGUGUGAGAUACUAUGGAAAUGUGUAUGAUAGAAGCUAUCAACUAAAGAAAGGAAAUGGACAUUGGAAGCUGUUUAAGGUGGUGUUGUAGAUGUUUGUGUUAUUUCACAAAUGUUCCAUAUGAAAGUGGUUGAUAUGUCUUUUAAAGUGAUAAUGUUUUAGUUGACAGGGAUGUAAAAUCUGUCAGAUUACAGAUUGUAAUCAGUGGCUAUUGAGAGAUCCACUCUUCUGUCAGCUCUGAUCCAUAUUAACUGCCUUUAGGUGAAGGAAGAUUUUAUUUGUUGGUGAUGUUCACAUCAUGACUUCUGUGGAACACUGACAUAUGGUCUGCCUAGUUAUAGUUAGCUGUCAGUAGACCCUAACAUUGCGCUCGAUUUCAAUUGCGUUCCUGUUAAUCAUCAGUUUAUUUUAUGUUCACAUUAAUUAAAGAGGGUUUUUUGGUUUAAUAAUAUUUAUGUUUUGAGUGUUUUCUAAAAAGUUAGUCCUUCCAAACUGAUUAAAUAACACCAGCAAAAAUAGACAAUGGUUGUUAUUUCUUUUAGUAAUUAAUAACAGGUUUUCAAAUGUGUUGCAUUUUGAAGAGAACAUGAUGUGAGGUUUUCAAUUAAUCUGCUUCUAUCUCUGGGUAGAUUUAAUUUCUGUUUCAGUUCUCUAUUGCUUUAAAAUAGUCACCUCAGAACUAACUGGCUUAAAAAAAUAAUAAUUUAUUUGUUAUAAGUUUCUGGGUCUGCAGUCCUACCAGGGAUCAGGUGGGUGAUUUUUCUGUUCUAAUCACAGAGCCAGCCUAGGUUCACGAAAGGAGGGAAAAGACUCCACUUUUUGAUGAGAGGAGAGAUCAGAUUUUUUUUUUUUUUUUUUUUUUUUUUUUUGCAAAAGGCAUUUAGGUAACGAGAGAUAUUGUUUUGUGACCCCCUUUAAAUAAUAUGCCAUGUAGACUUACUGGGUGAAAUUUCUUAUUUCAUAAUUUUCAGCUAGAGUUGUUGUUAUGAUAGUAGUAAAAUAGUUUAUUUCUAAAUAAUUAUGAUUAAAAAGGGCAAAUCUGAAAUAAACAACCUAACUUUACACCUCAGGGAAUUAGAAAAACAAACUAAGCCCACAUAUAGCAGAAAGAAGGAAAUAUUAUAAAUUAGUGCAGAAAGAAAUGAAAUAGAGGCUGGAAAAACAAUAGAAAAAGAUGAAGGAAAGUAAGAGCUUUUUUAGAAAUAAGUUUUAAGAAUUUUUAAUUUUUAAUUUAAUUUUUAAAAUUUUUAUUGAAAUUUACACUGUUGAUUUACAGUGUCGUGCUAGUUUCAGGUGUAUAGCAAAGUGAUUCAGUUUUAUAUAUUUUUUCUUUUUUUCCCAUUCUCUUCCUUUAUAGGUUAUUAUAAGAUAUUGAGUAUAGUUCCCUGUGCUAUAUAGUAGGUCCUUGUUAGUUGUCUGUUUUAUACAUAUGUACUUUAACCCCAAACUCCUAAUUUCUCACUCCCCCCUUUCCCUUUUGGUAAUCAUAAGUUUGUUUUAUAUGUCUGUGGGUCUCUUUCUAUUUUGUACGCAAAUUCAUUUGUAUCAUUUUCUUUUUUUUCCGAUUCCACAUGUAAGUGAUACCAUAUGUUAUUUGUCUUUCUCUGUCUGACUUUCUUCACUUAAUAUGAUAAUCUUUAGGUCCAUCCAGUUUGCUGCAAAUGACAUUAUUUCAUUCUUUUUAUAGCUGAGUAAUAUUCCAUUGUAUAUAUGUACCACAUUUUCUUAAUCCAUUCCUCUGUCGAUGGACAUCUGGGUUGCUUCCACAUCUUGAGUAUUGUUAAGUAGUGCUGCUCUGAACGUUAUGGUGCAAGUAUCUUUUCAAAUUGUGUUUUUCUCCAGAUAUAUACCCAAGAGUGGGAUUGCAGGAUCAUAUUGUAGCUCUAUUUUUAGUUUUUUUAAAGACAUUUUAAGAGUUUUAAUUGCUUUUUUUCUGUUGAAUGGUUAGAAUUCCACUCCUUCCUAUGUAACAUGUAUUUUCCAGGCUCUUGACCCUCUCUCCACUGUCCACCAUAUGCUGUGGAGCUGAACCACAGGGCCAGUUUCCUGUGCAGCCAGGCAGAAUCCUGCACUCAAAAGGAACCUAUACUUUGUUUAAUGCACUGCCAUCUCUAUCUUGCGAUUCUUCACAAUUUUGGAACAAGGGCGCUGUAUUUUCAUUUUGUACUAGUUGCCACAAAUUGUGAACUAAUCUUAUUUUUAUCUUUAGAAGGAAAUUUCUACUUCUCAUAGUAUUUAUCUGGCAAGUUUUCAAAUGUUUUUUAAGAUGUAGCUUAAAUCUUACCUUGCCUCUGAAAAUUUUUCUGAUUCCCCAGGUCUACCUGCAGAGGGAACCAGUGGCUUUUUUCUAUGUAUAUCUUGGUUACAUACCACUUGGCAUAAACCUCUAUUAUAGUAAUUAGUUUUUUAUUAAUAUUUGUGUGUACUUUUUUCUCCUCCAUUAGUUGGGCUUAAAAAAUGCCUUAUUCAUUAUCACAUACUUGGUAAAUUCCCAGUGUGUGGUCUAUAGCAUGUAUGGUAAAUAUCCAAUAAAUACUUGAUAAAAGAACAAGUGAAUAGAUGAAUACAAUGUGGUUAUGUAUCCUUGUCUUUAAAAUAUUAUGAGCAGACAUUAUAGAUUUCAAUACCAAGUUAAUUUGUCUGCUGAUAACAUUGUUCUCCUCUUAUCUCUACCAGAACCACUCAGAGAUUUUGCCCAAGCCUUCUAUUUGUUUCUUAUUGGAAAUAUAAAACAUACUGUUACCAGAUAUUCAGUAACCUUCAUGCGGUUCUUACUUGAACUUAAUUUUUUCCUUUAAACUUAACUUUAUCGAGACAGUAAGAGUCAUACACAUAGCUUAACACUUUCUGAUGUGCUAGUCUGUAUGCUUUCAUUCAAUUCAUCUUUGCAAACUCCCCCACAACUAGAUUCUAAGUUCACGGAGAGGCUCCCACUUGUGGCCAAGACAGAGAAAGUCACAGGGACCAAAUUUACCCUCCCAUCUAAAAUAGCCAC
This 5188-nucleotide long non-coding RNA is filed under the name Sus scrofa (pig). Its description in RNAcentral is "lncRNA (ENSSSCG00000062801.1)". The record is from RNAcentral. Lineage: Eukaryota; Metazoa; Chordata; Mammalia; Artiodactyla; Suidae.